GUAUGUCCGGUUCUAUUAUAUAAAAGUACAAGUUUAAAGCCGAGCUACUUGUCACUUCGAUAGAGCUUUGAGAUGCUUGCACUAAGUAAAGGUUUAACUCGAAAGAGACCUUUAUGUAUAUAUAUUAAUCUCACGGAAAUUUUGGCUGUAUAUUUUUAAUGUUUUAUUUAUUGUUUUUGUUUUAUAAACAAAAGUGGGGGAUUGUUGGUAAUUUGUUUAUAAAACAAAUUGAGAGGUGCCUUGUCCCACAUCGAAAAGAUGUGAGUGCGCACGUGGACGAGAUUUGGCAUUAACCAACGAUCAUUAUUUUAUUUAUUGAGAAAAUUCGGAUUUAUUUAUAUAAAAUAUUAACUACAAAAUCUUGUUGAAAUAGUGCGACUGUUCAUGAAAAGUUACAAUUAUUUUUUAUUUUUUAUUUAUUUAAUUCCGAAUUUUUAAAUCUUUUCAACGUAACCUUUGAGACGUACUUUUUCACGAAAGGUUGUCUUU
Molecule: long non-coding RNA, 489 nt
Filed under: Eucalyptus grandis
Lineage: Eukaryota; Viridiplantae; Streptophyta; Magnoliopsida; Myrtales; Myrtaceae
Description: long non-coding RNA (EGRA_LNC003669)
Source: RNAcentral